Molecule: ribosomal RNA, 176 nt
Filed under: Nannobrachium atrum
Lineage: Eukaryota; Metazoa; Chordata; Actinopteri; Myctophiformes; Myctophidae
Description: partial 12S rRNA
Source: RNAcentral
CACCGCGGUCAUACGAGUGUUAGCCCAAGUGGAUGGUCAACGGCGUAAAGAGUGGUUAGGGACUCCUAAAACUAAAGCUGAACGCCCACAGGGCCGUUAUACGCAUCCGAGAGCCUGAAACCCCGCCACGAAGGUGGCUUUAACCUUACCCGAACCCACGAUAGCUAGGGCACAAA